GUUCGGUAAACAGGAAGUUGUCAAGUGAUGAAUCUGAAAACGCAUCACACGGUAUGGCUAACAGAUAUAAAUGUUGAUACCAAAUUACAGAAAGGGUGGAUGUGUAGUUCCUGAGAAAAAUGUGACGAAAAUUUUUAACUUGGCUAUUAUGUGUAAAAUCAUACAAGUGUUCGGUAAACAGGAAGUUGUCAAGUGAUGAAUCUGAAAACGCAUCACACGGUAUGGCUAACAUAUAUAAAUGUUGAUACCAAAUUACAGAAAGGGUGGAUGUGUAGUUCCUGAGAAAAAUGUGACGAAAGUUUCAUGGGACGGACUGACUGACGGACGGACUGACGGACGGACUGAUGGACGGACUGACGGACUGACGGACGGACAGACAGAGGUAAAACAGUAUACCCCCCCUUUUUUAAAGCGGGGGUAUAAAAACUACUUAAUAUGCAUCAACCAUGUCAACUGGAAUUUAAAAUGACUGAAAAUAUCAC
Molecule: long non-coding RNA, 482 nt
Filed under: Mytilus galloprovincialis (Mediterranean mussel)
Lineage: Eukaryota; Metazoa; Mollusca; Bivalvia; Mytilida; Mytilidae
Source: RNAcentral